AAACGAAGCGCAUGAAACGAAACAAGAAAACGAACAAAUUUCUCUCUCAUUCUUAAAAUUUCACUCGCCGCGAGCUGUUGUCGUUCGCGCCCGGAUAACGACGAUAUUUCAAAUUAACAGCGAGAUACCCCGCUAUGUGUUCACAACCCCGCCCGCCCGUUCCACACUAAAGUGCAACAAA
Molecule: long non-coding RNA, 181 nt
Organism: Drosophila arizonae
Lineage: Eukaryota; Metazoa; Arthropoda; Insecta; Diptera; Drosophilidae
Source: RefSeq, a predicted model, not a curated record